Eucalyptus grandis is the source of this 362-nucleotide long non-coding RNA. RefSeq lists it as uncharacterized. Lineage: Eukaryota; Viridiplantae; Streptophyta; Magnoliopsida; Myrtales; Myrtaceae. The transcript has 3 exons. The record is from RefSeq and is a predicted model, not a curated record.
AUGAGAAGAAAUUGAACAUAGAAUACGAUCUGAAUAUGAAAGAGAUUUCAACUCUUGAACAAUCAAUGAAGGUGAAGAGAAUUGCUACAGAUGAUUCCAAGAGAAAACUGAGUUUUAAAGGAUGAAGAUUUUGAUGCCAUGGAUUGCCAGCUCAUUGAUGCCAUGGAUCACCAGCUCAUCAAUUCAUGCCAUGGAUCGCCAGCUCAUCAAUCUUCCUCUGCUCCAGAUUCUUCAGCUAACGACUCUCCUCUGCUCUAGCUUCCUCUGUUCCAGCCUUCUCUGCCUCAGUUACUUCGCUAAGUCUGAUUCUUCCACUAUUAUUAGCUCCUGUGUUUAAUUGCUCUUUUGAUAUCUGUUUUAUC